Molecule: ribosomal RNA, 435 nt
Filed under: uncultured bacterium
Lineage: Bacteria
Description: partial 16S ribosomal RNA
Rfam family: Bacterial small subunit ribosomal RNA
Source: RNAcentral
AGCGAACGCUGGCGGCAGGCUUAACACAUGCAAGUCGAGCGGGCACUUUCGGGUGUCAGCGGCGGACGGGUGAGUAACGCGUGGGAACGUGCCCUCUGGUUCGGAAUAACUCAGGGAAACUUGAGCUAAUACCGGAUACGCCCUUUUGGGGAAAGGCUUGCUGCCGGAGGAUCGGCCCGCGUCUGAUUAGCUAGUUGGUGAGGUAACGGCUCACCAAGGCGACGAUCAGUAGCUGGUCUGAGAGGAUGAUCAGCCACACUGGGACUGAGACACGGCCCAGACUCCUACGGGAGGCAGCAGUGGGGAAUAUUGGACAAUGGGCGCAAGCCUGAUCCAGCCAUGCCGCGUGAGUGAUCAAGGCCUUAGGGUUGUAAAGCUCUUUUAUCCGGGGCGAUAAUGACGGUACCGGAGGAAUAAGCCCCGGCUAACUUCGUG